CCCAAUCCUAACUUCAUUAAUGUGUUUGAAAAGCCUAUAUCCAUCUAAUGAGUGUUCUAGGGCCUAACUAAGGGUGCCUUGAUCAACAAGCCUUCUCGAGAAGACUAAAAGAGUAUUGUUGACUGCCUACAUUUAAUGCAUUGGAGCCCUACGAAUCCUAAGAACUCAUUACUUACAGUAGAAUAGGACUUCUCAUAAUAGCUGAUGGAGAGAAAACUUCAAUCUAGCUCAACGGUCUUAAUAGAUAGCAAGGAGUGGCGGAGCCCCUAUCAAUAGCCGAGUACUUGACAACGCAUGGCAUUUUCUAAUUGGUCUAAAAGACUAUAUAUUCUUUGUAAGCCUUGAGUAUGUAUUCACUUCUUGACUCUCAUAAAAUCCAACCCAUUUACUUCUUACAUUUAUUUAGUCUCACACUUCCACAUCCCACUAAUUUAACCAUUAAAGUAUCAAGUAAGGGAGUCCUUCUUGGCUCUCUAAUUUCUGUACGUGAUUGCAGAG
Molecule: unclassified non-coding RNA, 498 nt
Filed under: Hevea brasiliensis (rubber tree)
Lineage: Eukaryota; Viridiplantae; Streptophyta; Magnoliopsida; Malpighiales; Euphorbiaceae
Source: RNAcentral